This 460-nucleotide ribosomal RNA is filed under the name uncultured bacterium. RNAcentral's name for it is "partial 16S ribosomal RNA". It matches the Rfam family "Bacterial small subunit ribosomal RNA", at positions 338 to 795 of the family's 1533-position model. The record is from RNAcentral.
CCUACGGGUGGCAGCAGUGAGGAAUAUUGGUCAAUGGGCGCGAGCCUGAACCAGCCAAGUAGCGUGAAGGAUGACUGCCCUACGGGUUGUAAACUUCUUUUAUAAAGGAAUAAAGUGAGGCACGUGUGCCUUUUUGUAUGUACUUUAUGAAUAAGGAUCGGCUAACUCCGUGCCAUCAGCCGCUGUAAUACGGAGGAUCGUAGCGUUAUCCGGAUUUAUUGGGGUUAAAGGGUGCGUAGGUGGGUUGUUAAGUCAGUUGUUAAAGUUUGCGGCUCAACCGUAAAAUUGCAGUUGAUACUGGCAGCCUUGAGUACAGUUGAGGUAGGCGGAAUUCGUGGUGUAGCGGUGAAAUGCUUAGAUAUCACGAAGAACUCCGAUGGCGAAGGCAGCCUACUAAACUGCCACUGACAUUGAGGCUCGAAAGUGUGGGUAUCAAACAGGAUUAGAUACCCGAGUAGUC